UGAGUAACACGUGAGUGACCUGCCUUUUAGACUGGAACAACUUACCGAAAGGUGAGCUAAUGCCGGAUGAGUUAUAUAAGUGCAUGUUUAUAUAGGAAAAGUUGGGGAGACCUGACGCUGAAAGAUGGACCCGCGUCCCAUUAGCUAGUUGGUAGGGUAAUGGCCUACCAAGGCGACGAUGGGUAGCCGGCCUGAGAGGGUGGCCGGCCACACUGGGACUGAGACACGGCCCAGACUCCUACGGGAGGCAGCAG
RNAcentral lists this ribosomal RNA (254 nucleotides) under uncultured bacterium. RNAcentral's name for it is "partial 16S ribosomal RNA". It matches the Rfam family "Bacterial small subunit ribosomal RNA", at positions 107 to 354 of the family's 1533-position model. The record is from RNAcentral.